UUAGAUGAUUAUAAACGUCUUUCUCAGUCACAUGCUUCGUGUCCUUGCAGUCAAGCUGCAGAGACUCAGUGUGCAAUACUGCCACCACUCCCAUGAUGCAAGCUAUCUUCAGAUAAGAUUAAAAGCUAUCUAGAAGCAGAAGUAAGCCUGAUGAUCUGCAUGCAAGAAAGUAUUUAGGAAUAAGCCCAAAACUUCUACAAGUCAAAUGUUGUCGCCCCCAUCAAACCAGGUAAACAUUGAAUGCACUGUUGCUUUCUUCUACACUGCUGAAGAUCAAUUGAAAGCAGCAACAACAAAAUUGAAUUCAGGUUGGCCAGCUCCAAGCAGUAAUACUCCAAGAGGGAACACACCAAAACAAGAGCAUACACAAUAAUUCUACAUAAACCAAUAGAUUGCAACCAACACAAUGAUCACUUGAUUUCUUGAAGAACUUCUGGAAUCAAGUCCCAGUAUACUGGAGCCAAGCAAUAGACACCCCAACUAUGUUUAGAGCAAUAAACCACUCGAUCAAAUAUGCCUUCCAAAUAAUGAAGAUGGAGUAAUUAUAUCUUAAUUUUAUUCUCCAUGGAGGACCGGGCCUUCCAUACUUGGUAGUUCUGCAAGACUCCUCCAAGAACUGAAACUUACCAAAAACAAAUACUUAAAAGGUUACUUUUUCAAUUGGUCCCUAACUUGCUAAAUUUUUCUGAGUGAGUCCUCCAAAAACUGAAAUUUACCAUGGUAUAUUUUACUAACUAUCAGGGUACAUUUGGAAGAACAAUUUAAUCAAAGUUUCUAACAUGCUUAUUAAAUGGGAGCUUAGUUAUAAAACUUAACUGCAAAUUUAGGCUAAAAAGCUUAUUUUGAUAAAUUUGCUCGUAAGACCUUUUUCAGCUGAAAAAAAAAAGGCCUCAAAGGUCGCAAGACCAAAUAAACCCCUUAAAUCACUCACAGAUGUUUUCAUAUAGAUUAUAUUGGCUAACGCCAUUUAGACCCGAUUGAUGCUUGUUUAAAGUCAAUGUAGGCCUUUUUGCCGUUGCUGCAAUCGACUUUAUUAUAAAAGUAUAAAUAUCUAAUCAAAAUUUUACACACCAAAAAUGCCUAUUUGAGAAUUCAAUGAAACUAAAGGACCAAUAGUUUAACCUAUUAUUGAAAUUUCAUUCAAUCUGCGCUUUCAUAGAUCCCUUUUGGUUAAAUUAAUUUUUGUUUUCCUUCUUCUUCUUAUUUCAGUUAGCUUACUUGACAACGUAUUCGUUCAAGGUCGUGACCCCUUUGCAAAAGGAUGGUUCACACAAGUAAAAAGACAAAUCCAUAUUAAAGAUUCAAAAUCAUGACGUCCUUGUCCAUAUUCCAAAUAGGUUUCUCUCCAAUGGAAACUUCACUAGGCCGUAGAUGAAAAGCGGGACGGAAGAAAAAAGAACACGAAGAUCGUUAUAUUGAUAAUGAGGAAUGCUAACAGUCUCUGACACUCUCUUCCCAAGACUUGGUUAGAAUUUAUUAGAAAUCAUAAUUUUCAGUGGUUAAAUUUCUAAAUCAGGAGAGAAAAAUAAGAGGAACUCACCAGAAAGUGUUUUUUGAACAGCCGAAGCAUCAAGCCAACCCUUUCACUGUUCAUAUAGGCAAAGAAGCAGAUGCAUAAUCGUCAUGAAUUAUGCAAAAGGAAAUUCCAUAAAUGCUUCAACCAAACUAAAUUUCUAUCAUAUAUCUUUUGUCGCCGCUAAUAGAAGGUAUUAAAGACAGACUAAAAAAAAGGUAUUGUAGACAAAAGGCAAGGAUACGGUAAUAAAAAUGUGCUUUUCGGGCAACUCUGCCCUUCAGAAGUAAAGGGAUAAUGUUUUGAUAAAGGGAAUCCUCUGAAAUUACAAUACCCUGCAAAACAUUUCAACUCACAAUCGCAUGCUACCGACAUCACCAGCAUCACCCUUCUACCUCAAAACAUUUGCAGCACAAAUCCUCUAUAUUAUCGACUGGCAAAGAAGAGGUAUAGAGAUUCUCCACAAUAGAACAUCUCCAUAAGAUUAGUACCAAAACUGGGUAGUCCAAGUCUCACCGUAAUGCGAAUAUGCGACUCCACAAACAGAAAGGACGAUUAUAGUAGUCGGAGAAAUAGAAUCUACCUCUUACAUUUAUAAGACUCAAUACACUACUGUAAAUAGCUGAUUGUGAUUCUGCGUUUGAAUGCAGAAUACACUCACGAGAUUAACGGAAGAAAUAGCAAAAGCAGAAAACGCUCAGCCCCUGAAUUUUCAUAGAUGCACAUACAUACCAUCAUAUACAAUCUGAACUAUAUACAAAACAAUAACAUAAACGCAAUCAAUACUUCCCAAAGCAUUUAAUAACACACAAUUCAAGUCCAAAACUAACCGUCCAUAAAAUCAUCAAACACCACAAAGAAAGCAAUCCCACACAUUUUGUCAAUUGACAGCAUCAAUUCAACCAAGCUUUCCCGAUACUUGAAAUGAUGCUGCAUUUCUAGAAACAAAGCACAGCACAAACUUAAAGAGAAGAGAAGAAUAAAAUAAGCACAAUAGCAGGCAAAGGUAGCAAAGAAAGAAGAAGAAAUGGUGGAAAUUUUAUGAUAGUACUACGAACUUUAGAGCCAGAGAGAAUGUUGGGCGAUCCAAUUCAAAAUAUAGAUACGACGGUGGUGUCCCAAAUCGAAAGUAGAGAUUGGUAUCUCUCCCCUGACCCAGCACAAAAGGAUGUGGAGGAGGAACACAC
This 2700-nucleotide long non-coding RNA is filed under the name Vigna radiata. Its description in RNAcentral is "long non-coding RNA (VRAD_LNC003811)". Lineage: Eukaryota; Viridiplantae; Streptophyta; Magnoliopsida; Fabales; Fabaceae. The record is from RNAcentral.